RNAcentral lists this ribosomal RNA (639 nucleotides) under Acinetobacter baumannii OIFC137. RNAcentral describes it as "bacterial SSU rRNA". It matches the Rfam family "Bacterial small subunit ribosomal RNA", at positions 28 to 661 of the family's 1533-position model. The record is from RNAcentral. Lineage: Bacteria; Pseudomonadati; Pseudomonadota; Gammaproteobacteria; Moraxellales; Moraxellaceae.
AUUGAACGCUGGCGGCAGGCUUAACACAUGCAAGUCGAGCGGGGGAAGGUAGCUUGCUACCGGACCUAGCGGCGGACGGGUGAGUAAUGCUUAGGAAUCUGCCUAUUAGUGGGGGACAACAUCUCGAAAGGGAUGCUAAUACCGCAUACGUCCUACGGGAGAAAGCAGGGGAUCUUCGGACCUUGCGCUAAUAGAUGAGCCUAAGUCGGAUUAGCUAGUUGGUGGGGUAAAGGCCUACCAAGGCGACGAUCUGUAGCGGGUCUGAGAGGAUGAUCCGCCACACUGGGACUGAGACACGGCCCAGACUCCUACGGGAGGCAGCAGUGGGGAAUAUUGGACAAUGGGGGGAACCCUGAUCCAGCCAUGCCGCGUGUGUGAAGAAGGCCUUAUGGUUGUAAAGCACUUUAAGCGAGGAGGAGGCUACUUUAGUUAAUACCUAGAGACAGUGGACGUUACUCGCAGAAUAAGCACCGGCUAACUCUGUGCCAGCAGCCGCGGUAAUACAGAGGGUGCGAGCGUUAAUCGGAUUUACUGGGCGUAAAGCGUGCGUAGGCGGCUUAUUAAGUCGGAUGUGAAAUCCCCGAGCUUAACUUGGGAAUUGCAUUCGAUACUGGUGAGCUAGAGUAUGGGAGAGGAUGG